AAGAAUAUAUGCAUAUGGUUAUCACAUAAUUCAUCUCUUUGAUCUUGAAUGCUCUAUGACAAUUUAGGAUUAAACUAUCAACCCUGAAGGGUCAUCCACAUUGUAUUCCAAUCUUUCAAAUCCAUCACAUAGAUUAUCCUGAUCAAAAUUUUACUAAAUUGAAAUACAGUGAUGCAUCAGCUCCUAUAAUCUGGAGGGAUCAAUUUUAUCUUGAUCCACACACAGACUUCGCAAGUACUUGACGG
This 245-nucleotide long non-coding RNA is filed under the name Elaeis guineensis (African oil palm). Its description in RNAcentral is "long non-coding RNA (EGUI_LNC035350)". Lineage: Eukaryota; Viridiplantae; Streptophyta; Magnoliopsida; Arecales; Arecaceae. The record is from RNAcentral.